AUGGAGGCAGCAGCAGCAGCAGCCUCGCCACGCCCGCGCGCCACUGGCUGCCUCACCGCCUCCACCGCAGGCCCGCAGCGCGCGAGCCGCUGGUGCCCUCGCCAACCGCGCACCGCCUCUUCCUCAUCCUCCUCCUCUUCAAGCGGCGGAAGCCCAGCGGAUCUAGGGUUGCUCCGCCCGCGCCUCCGCCUCUCGCCCUCCUCCCCGGGGAGGAUAGCAGGCGGGGCGCCGCCGGUCCGAGCCCGGGACCCCCGCGCCGAAUGCGCGGGCGGCCGGUCCAGUGCGGAGCACAUCGGGGUCAGCCUAGAAGGCGAGAACAGAGUUUUGGAGAUGUCGUCAACUGUGCCCAAGUCAUCAAAUAUCUUCUGGCAUGAUUGCCCAGUGGGCAAGACUGACCGGCAAAAUCUACUGAAGCAGAAAGGGUGUGUUGUUUGGAUUACAGGCCUUAGUGGUUCAGGUAAAAGUACCUUGGCAUGCACAUUAGGUCGAGAGCUCCAUACAAGAGGGAAGCUUGCGUAUGUUCUUGAUGGCGAUAACUUAAGACAUGGUCUUAACAAGGAUCUUGGCUUCGCAGCUGAAGAUCGUGCUGAAAAUAUACGCAGAGUUGGUGAAGUUGCAAAGCUAUUUGCAGAUGCAGGUCUAGUGUGCAUUGCUAGUUUUAUAUCUCCGUAUAGGAGAGACCGAGAGUCUUGUCGUGCACUGUUGUCAGACGGUAGUUUUAUUGAAGUUUUCUUGAACAUGUCCUUGGAAUUGUGUGAAGCAAGGGAUCCGAAGGGCCUUUAUAAGCUUGCUCGUGCAGGAAAAAUAAAGGGGUUUACUGGUAUUGAUGACCCAUAUGAAGCGCCAUUAAAUUGCGAGAUUGAGAUAAAGGAAGUGGAUGGCGUGUGCCCUUCGCCAUCCGACAUGGCGGCACAAGUGAUUGCUUAUCUCGAGGACAAAGGCUUUCUGCACGAGUAG
This 957-nucleotide ribosomal RNA is filed under the name Triticum aestivum (bread wheat). Its description in RNAcentral is "partial small subunit ribosomal RNA". Lineage: Eukaryota; Viridiplantae; Streptophyta; Magnoliopsida; Poales; Poaceae. The record is from RNAcentral.